CCUGAGAAACCCAAAAGUUCGAACGGAGAGAUUCAUCGUCAGCGAUCCCGGCGAUGUGCGGUUCGUGAUGCCCGGGACCUCGGUCCCGUGGCACGCGUCCGUGUCAUUUGUUUGCCGGGUUUCGUCGUCGUGCACUUCUCCCCUAGUAGGACGUCGCGACCCGUUGGGUGUCGGUCUACGACUCGGGUGGGCGCCCGUCAUGUGUCACGCCUCACGGCGUCAUGUGGCGGACCCCCGGUUGUCCGACCAGCUGCCCGGCGGUACUCGCACGGUAUUGAGUCGCAAAUUUGAACUGCGUCCGGCCCGCCGCAAGCGAGGCCAGUGUUUCCCGGAUGUACGGACUUAGCGCCGUCACCGGGCCUGGCCAGCUGUUGGCCGGCGGUGUCCUGGGACUGGCUCUAUUAUAAUACCGGUCGGCGACGCUACUGCUUUGGGUACUUUCAGGA
RNAcentral lists this ribosomal RNA (446 nucleotides) under Olesicampe sp. CNC 422491. Its description in RNAcentral is "partial 28S ribosomal RNA". Lineage: Eukaryota; Metazoa; Arthropoda; Insecta; Hymenoptera; Ichneumonidae. The record is from RNAcentral.